CAGGACGAACGCUGGCGGCGUGGCUUAAUACAUGGCAAGUCGAACGGACCGAGUUCUAGUAGUUUACGUAUUGGGAAAGGUUAGUGGCGGACGGGUGAGUAACGCGUGGGUAAUCUGCCCCAAGUCCGGGAUAACAGAGCGAAAGUUCUGCUAAGACCGGAUACUCUUUACCAGUUGCAUAACGGGUAAAGGAAAGGUAACGCUUAGGGAUGAGCCCGCGUCCCAUUAGCUAGUUGGUGAGGUAACGGCCCACCAAGGCGACGAUGGGUAGCCGGCCUGAGAGGGUGGACGGCCACACUGGGACUGAGACACGGCCCAGACUCCUACGGGAGGCAGCAGUAGGGAAUUUUCCGCAAUGGGCGCCAAGCCUGACGGAGCAACGCCGCGUGAGGGACGAAGGUCUUCGGAUCGUAAACCUUUGUCAUCGAGGACGAUAAUGACGGUACUCGAGGAGGAAGCCCCGGCUAACUACGUGCCAGCCGCGGC
This 486-nucleotide ribosomal RNA is filed under the name uncultured bacterium. RNAcentral's name for it is "bacterial SSU rRNA". It matches the Rfam family "Bacterial small subunit ribosomal RNA", at positions 25 to 518 of the family's 1533-position model. The record is from RNAcentral.